RNAcentral lists this ribosomal RNA (384 nucleotides) under uncultured bacterium. Its description in RNAcentral is "bacterial SSU rRNA". It matches the Rfam family "Bacterial small subunit ribosomal RNA", at positions 30 to 416 of the family's 1533-position model. The record is from RNAcentral.
AUUGAACGCUGGCGGAAUGCUUUACACAUGCAAGUCGAACGGCAGCACGGACUUCGGUCUGGUGGCGAGUGGCGAACGGGUGAGUAAUAUAUCGGAACGUAUCCAAUAAUGGGGGAUAACUAAUCGAAAGGUUGGCUAAUACCGCAUACGCCCUACGGGGAAAGCUAGGGACCUUCGGGCCUGGCGUUAAUGGAGCGGCUGAUAUCUGAUUAGCUAGUUGGUGAGGUAAAGGCUCACCAAGGCGACGAUCAGUAGCUGGUCUGAGAGGACGACCAGCCACACUGGAACUGAGACACGGUCCAGACUCCUACGGGAGGCAGCAGUGGGGAAUUUGGACAAUGGGCGCAAGCCUGAUCCAGCCAUUCCGCGUGAGUGAAGAAGGCC